Molecule: ribosomal RNA, 281 nt
Filed under: uncultured bacterium
Lineage: Bacteria
Description: partial 16S ribosomal RNA
Rfam family: Bacterial small subunit ribosomal RNA
Source: RNAcentral
GAUGAACGCUAGCGGCAGGCCUAAUACAUGCAAGUCGGACGGGAUUGAGAAGCUUGCUUUUCAUGAGAGUGGCGCACGGGUGCGUAACACGUAUGUAACCUACCUUAUCCAGGGGGAUAGCCUCUCGAAAGAGAGAUUAACACCGCAUAACAUUAUUGAACAGCAUUGUUUAAUAAUCAAAUAUUUAUAGGGAUAAGAUGGGCAUGCGGACAUUAGCAGUUGGCGGGUAACGCCACAAGGCGACGAUGUCUAGGGGAUCUGAGAGGAUCGACCCCCACACU